GGAGGGUGCAAGCGUUGUUCGGAAUCACUGGGCGUAAAGGGCGCGUAGGCGGCCGAUCAAGUCUGAUGUGAAAGCCCGGGGCUCAACCCCGGAAGUGCAUUGGAUACUGGUCGGCUUGAGUUCGGGAGAGGAGGGCAGAAUUCCCGGUGUAGGGGUGAAGUCCGUAGAUAUCGGGAGGAAAACCAGUGGCGAAGGCGGCCCUCUGGAACGAAACUGACGUUGAGGCGCGAAAGCGUGGGGAGCAAACAGGAUUAGAGACCCUGGUAGUCCACGCUGUAAACGAUGGAUGCUAGGUGUAGGGGUCAUGAAUGAUCUCUGUGCCGCAGCUAACGCGAUAAGCAUCCCGCCUGGGGAGUACGGUCGCAAGGCUA
RNAcentral lists this ribosomal RNA (371 nucleotides) under uncultured bacterium. RNAcentral describes it as "bacterial SSU rRNA". It matches the Rfam family "Bacterial small subunit ribosomal RNA", at positions 527 to 896 of the family's 1533-position model. The record is from RNAcentral.